AGCUGGUCCGACUGCAGUGGUGUUUACAACUAAUUGAUCACAAGCAGUUACAGAUUUCUUUGUUCUUUCUUCACUCUCACUGUUCCACUUGACUAGCCUUAA
This 102-nucleotide Y RNA is filed under the name Carlito syrichta (Philippine tarsier). RNAcentral describes it as "Y RNA (ENSTSYG00000025949.1)". It matches the Rfam family "Y RNA". Rfam says of the family: Y RNAs are components of the Ro ribonucleoprotein particle (Ro RNP), in association with Ro60 and La proteins. The record is from Rfam by way of RNAcentral. Lineage: Eukaryota; Metazoa; Chordata; Mammalia; Primates; Tarsiidae.